This 331-nucleotide ribosomal RNA is filed under the name uncultured bacterium. RNAcentral's name for it is "bacterial SSU rRNA". It matches the Rfam family "Bacterial small subunit ribosomal RNA", at positions 28 to 334 of the family's 1533-position model. The record is from RNAcentral.
GAUGAACGCUGGCGGCGUGCUUAAUACAUGCAAGUCGAGCGAAGCACUUUAACGGAAUUCUCCGGAAGGAAGGUAAAGUGACUGAGUGGCGGACGGGUGAGUAACACGUAGGUAACCUGCCCCGGAGCGGGGGAUAACAUUUGGAAACAGAUGCUAAUACCGCAUAACAACAAAAACCACAUGGCUUUUGUUUGAAAGAUGGCUUUGGCUAUCACUCUGGGAUGGACCUGCGGUGCAUUAGCUAGUUGGUAAGGUAACGGCUUACCAAGGCAAUGAUGCAUAGCCGAGUUGAGAGACUGAUCGGCCACAUUGGGACUGAGACACGGCCCAA